RNAcentral lists this ribosomal RNA (429 nucleotides) under uncultured bacterium. Its description in RNAcentral is "bacterial SSU rRNA". It matches the Rfam family "Bacterial small subunit ribosomal RNA", at positions 355 to 776 of the family's 1533-position model. The record is from RNAcentral.
UGAGGAAUAUUGGGCAAUGCUCGCAAGAGUGACCCAGCAACGCCGCGUGGAGGAUGAAGGUCGUAAGAUUGUAAACUCCUGUGAGAAGGGAUGAAAGAUAUUGUUUCGUAAGGGACAAUAGAUGACCGUACCUUCAGAGGAAGCCCCGGCUAACUACGUGCCAGCAGCCGCGGUAAUACGUAGGGGGCAAGCGUUGUCCGGAUUUACUGGGUGUAAAGGGCGCGCAGGCGGAUAGAUAAGUCAGAGGUGAAAGACUACAGCUCAACUGUAGAACUGCCUUUGAAACUGUUUAUCUUGAGUGCAGAAGAGAGAGGCGGAAUUCCAGGUGUAGUAGUGAAAUACGUAGAUAUCUGGAAGAACACCGGUGGCGAAGGCGGCCUCUUGGUCUGACACUGACGCUCAGGCGCGAAAGCGUGGGUAGCAAACAGG